AUUUUGUCGUGCGUGCGUUGUUAGAUGGUGACUGUCUGAAGAAAAUAUCGGUCCCUCCUCUCCAUAAACAUCUCUCUCUCUCUCUCUCUCUCUCUCCCUGCGAAUCUUUGCUUUUGGCAAUCGUGUGCGGAGGAACAAUGAGCGUGGCAUCAACGUCCGAGGAAUCUCCCGAUUCAGCUCAGCGGAUCGAUUCGUUCAACGGCGAGCAGAGCGUCUAUUUCGUCCCCUUCAGGUGGUGGAAAGAUGCUCAAGAGUCAGUGCCUUGUGAAUCUGUUGAGAAAAGAGAGAUCUUGUAUACAGCAGCGACUACUGGGUCGUCUUACGGAGGCCCUAUGAAGUUGAUUAACAACAUCUUUAACUCCGAUAUCUUGUUUGAUCUGAGGAGAGAAGGUGAUGAUGCGUUACAGAGUAAUGACACGGGAGAAGCAAGCGUCUCAGGCAGGGACUUUGCUUUGGUCUCAAGUGACAUGUGGCUGCAGGCACUCAAAUGGCACCAUAACGAUAAAAUUAAUGAGAAAGGCGUGAAAAGUUUCUCCACUGGAGGCGUUGACAGAGGCGAUGUUUAUCCAGUACAACUCAGGCUCUCCGUCUUGCAGGAAACCAAUUCAUUGGCGGUUAAAAUUUGCAAAAAGGACAAUUCAGUUGAGUGCUUCAGACGAGCAUGCAAGAUAUUCAGUUUGGAUUCGGAGCAGCUGCGCAUUUGGGAUAUUUCUGGGCAAACAACCUUGUUUUUCCAAAAAGAUAUGAACAAUUCCAAGGCUUGCCAACAACAAACAGAUCAAGAAAUUCUUCUAGAGCUGCAGAUUUAUGGGUUAUCAGACUCCAUCAACUUGAAGGAAUCUAAAAAAGAAGAUGGUUCCACACAUCAAACCAACGGAAUUACCAAUGGCACAACUUUCAGAUUUGGACGGAGUCAUUCUUUGAGCUUUUUGGGAAAAGCUGGAGAAGCCGGAACUUUGGGGCUGACAGGCUUGCAGAAUCUAGGAAAUACUUGUUUCAUGAACAGCUCCCUUCAGUGCUUGGCUCACACACCAAAGCUUGUUGAUUUCUUUCUUGGAGAGUACAUCAGAGAAAUAAAUCUGGAGAACCCAUUGGGAAUGAAAGGUGAGAUCGCCUUAGCUUUUGGUGACUUGUUAAGGAGUUUGUGGGCUCCAGGUGCAUCAACAGUGACCCCAAGGACAUUUAAAGCAAAACUUGGCCGCUUUGCUCCUCAGUUUAGUGGCUUUAAUCAGCAUGAUUCGCAGGAACUUCUAGCUUUCUUGCUGGAUGGACUUCACGAGGACUUAAACCGUGUAAAGAACAAGCCAUAUGUGGAAGCAAAAGAUGGAGAUGGCCGUCCAGACGAAGAAGUGGCUGAUGAAUAUUGGCGAAAUCAUAUGGCUCGGAACGAUUCAAUAAUUGUUGAUGUGUGCCAAGGCCAGUACAAGUCAACAUUAGUUUGUCCUAUUUGCAAAAAGGUUUCGGUUAUGUUUGAUCCGUUCAUGUACCUAUCGCUACCUUUGCCAUGCACGUCAAUUCGAACAAUGGAUUUAACAGUCAUGAGUGCCGAUGGAGGUAGUCUGCCUGUCUCAGUGACUGUCAACGUUCCCAAGUUUGGAAAAUUUGAAGAUCUUCAGAAAGCUCUUGUAACUGCCUGCUCUUUGCCAGAGGACGAGACUUUAAUGGUUACUGAGGUGUACAACAAUCGGAUUCUUCGUGUCCUGGAGGAUCCUAGUGAUUCAUUGUCCUUGAUCAGAGAUGGUGACAAACUUGUCGUGUAUCGGUUAAAGAAAGAUGCAAACGAUUCUCCUUUGAUUGUAUUUAUGCAUCAGAAGCUGGAAGAGCAGUUCAUCUGUGGGAAAUCAAGCCCAACUUGGAAGGGAUUUGGAAUCCCCUUGGUCUCGAGGCUUUGUGAUGUCGAGAAUGGAUUUGAUGUUGAGAAGAUGUACCUUAAGUUGCUUAGUUCAUUUAAGAUGCCUAGUGAAGUCUUCACAGAGAAUCUUGAAAAUCCUACCGAAGAAGAAGCAACUGAAAAAGCAGGUACGGAUGGUACUACUUCAGCUGAGGAUAAAAAUUCCACUGAUGUGAAGGAGACUACUGAGUCUGUUCCAGACCCUGUGCUGAGGCUUUACCUAACCGACGACAUAGGAGGCUCAAUAGAAUCUGAGAUAUUGAAAGAAAAGCCUGUAAAUAUCAAAUCCAAGCGGUUGAAUGUGCUUGCACGUUGGCCAGUAAAAGAGCUAGACGUUUAUGAUACUUGUCUUCUGAGCUCCUUGCCUGAGGUUUCCAAAUUUGGAACUAAGAGGCCCCAGGAAACCGUCUCGCUUUACAAGUGCCUCGAAGCAUUCUUGACGGAGGAGCCUCUUGGUCCUGAUGACAUGUGGUAUUGUCCUGGCUGUAAAGAACACCGACAAGCCAUUAAAAAGUUGGAUCUCUGGAGGUUGCCAGAGAUACUGGUGAUUCAUCUGAAGAGGUUUUCUUAUAGCCGGUUUAUGAAGAACAAGCUGGAGGCCUUUGUGGAUUUCCCGAUAGAUGGUUUUGAUCUGUCAAGCUACAUCUCAUACAAGAAUGGUCAGACGACUUAUCACUACAUGCUCUAUGCGAUUAGCAAUCACUAUGGGGGCAUGGGAGGUGGUCAUUACACUGCAUAUGUCCACCAUGGGGGAGAUCGAUGGUAUGACUUUGAUGAUAGCCAUGUCAAUCAGAUCAGCCAAGAAAAGAUCAAGACUUCGGCUGCUUACGUUCUGUUUUAUAAACGUUUAGUAGAAGAAUAAUGAACCAGAAGCUGAAAGAAGAAGAAAGAGGUACGUGCAGUUUUGCCAUUGUGAGGGAAGCUUAUUUAAGAAACAUCAUUGGCUUUAUUCUCAUUCAGUACAUGAUAAAGAUCAGAGCAGCUGUGUGUUGAGGCUUGCAAACAGAAGAAGAAGAAGAGCUGAGGACAUGUUGCGGGGAAUUCAUUUUAUUUAUACAAAAGUUGGUGUCUGAUUAUAUCAUUGAACAAUCUUCAAUUUAGAGUAGGAAGAAUAGAGAAAUGCGUUUGAACAAAACCCUAAACCCUUAAAUUGUCCAGUCUUGUGACUGACCAUAAGAGUGUCUGUCGAAAUGAAUGCCAUCACAACCUCAAGGGUUCGAUUUCGCUUGGAUAUAACCCUAACUUAGAAACAUCUGCCUCGAGAAAAUAGUUUUGCUGGAUUCUGUUGAUGUAGAACUGUUACUUGGGGUUUAUGCAUGCUUCCAGUUACAUAUGGUUAUGGGAGAACGUAAUAUACAGUAUUGCAAUCUCUAUGAGUUAGGGACGUGCAAAUCCAUUGGAGGGUGUUCCACCUGCUGUUAAAACAGAUUUGACUAAAAAAAUAUAAUGAGACGAGUAAAACCAGAAUGGUACGUGCUGCUGACAUGGUGCAGCUUCCGGGAGUGAAGAAGGCACCAAAGAAGCGAAUAGCUGCAAUGCUUGAACCAACUGUUGAAAGUUUGAGCGGUGAAGAUGGCGAGCCGGUAGCAGAAAAUGAAGAAGAAAAUGAAUCAGACGCUGAAGACUCAGAAGAAGCAACUAAUGGAGAAAAGCUGGAGUCAAAUCUAAAAAUCUGAAUGCCAGAGCUAUGAUGCACCGAGACGGAUACGGGGACAGAAAUGGGGAUGGAAGCGGGGACGGGAAACGGGAAAAUUUAAAAAUUAUGGGUACGGGUACGGCAAAUAUAUACUAGUAAAAAAUAUAAAAUAUUUAUAAAAAAAAAUAAAUUUAUAUAGUGAAUCUAACAUAAUUAGAUAUAAUUUACUAUAAUAUGUCUAUUUUGCCAACUAAAAUUACAAGCAAAAUAAUAGUGACAGUUAAAAAACAAUUACACAAGCAUUAUGUCCCGUGAAAACUAGUCUUACUCAUAGCUAUGUUCUCUAACCGUCUCCAAGCCGUACCAGUGUUGUCCCCGUGAAGUACCCGUCCCCGAAACGUUUCCGGUACCGGUACGGCACCUAAAUAGACGUCCCCGUGCUACAUAGGGUUUCAGGGAUCCAAGUUGAUAUGGAUUUGAAAGGGGCUGGAACCUCAGGUUCAAGAAAGGCAGCUGGCAGAGGCAGAGGCAGAGGCAAAGCCGCAGAAGCUGAGAAGGCGCCGGUUCCAAGAGAAAGAGAUGAGAAGCCAAAGACGUCUCGUUUUUUCAGGCAAGAUUAUCAAAGAAAUGUAUCUUUCUGGAAUGUUCAUGUUCAGGUAGGCUUUUUUGUUAGUUUUCUUUUCCAGGAUUGACAAAUGAAUUUGUGCUGUUUCUGGUGGUAUGUAAGGGUGGAUUCUAGACUCCUAGUUUGUAUCGAACACACAAGGCCAAUACCUUUUUGAACUAUGGGAAUAAGCAUCUGCUCCCACCUAUAAUGCACCAUUCAUCAGAACCACAA
Molecule: RNA transcript, 4365 nt
Organism: Brassica napus (rape)
Lineage: Eukaryota; Viridiplantae; Streptophyta; Magnoliopsida; Brassicales; Brassicaceae
Gene name: ubiquitin carboxyl-terminal hydrolase 8-like
Exons: 18
Source: RefSeq, a predicted model, not a curated record